GCCCCUGUUGUCUAAUGGUUUAUGACGUCAGACUUCUAAUCUGGAGGUUGCGGGUUCGAGUCCCGCCAGGGGUU
This 74-nucleotide transfer RNA is filed under the name Schizophyllum commune H4-8. RNAcentral's name for it is "tRNA-Arg (TCT) (tRNA-Arg-TCT-2-1)". It matches the Rfam family "tRNA". From Rfam's summary of the family: Transfer RNA (tRNA) molecules are approximately 80 nucleotides in length. Lineage: Eukaryota; Fungi; Basidiomycota; Agaricomycetes; Agaricales; Schizophyllaceae. The record is from RNAcentral.